UAUCCUGACACUUUAAUGAAUUCUUGUAUGAGCUCUAGGAAUUUGGGGGUGGAGUUCUUUGGGUUUUGCACAUAGAGUAUCAUGACAUUUGCAAAGAGAGAG
Mustela erminea (ermine) is the source of this 102-nucleotide long non-coding RNA. RefSeq lists it as uncharacterized. The transcript is spliced from 3 exons. NCBI's taxonomy places the organism in Eukaryota, Metazoa, Chordata, Mammalia, Carnivora, Mustelidae. The record is from RefSeq and is a predicted model, not a curated record.